RNAcentral lists this transfer RNA (74 nucleotides) under Candidatus Pacearchaeota archaeon. RNAcentral describes it as "tRNA-Ile". It matches the Rfam family "tRNA". Rfam says of the family: Transfer RNA (tRNA) molecules are approximately 80 nucleotides in length. Their secondary structure includes four short double-helical elements and three loops (D, anti-codon, and T loops). Further hydrogen bonds mediate the characteristic L-shaped molecular structure. tRNAs have two regions of fundamental functional importance: the anti-codon, which is responsible for specific mRNA codon recognition, and the 3' end, to which the tRNAs corresponding amino acid is attached (by aminoacyl-tRNA synthetases). tRNAs cope with the degeneracy of the genetic code in two manners: having more than one tRNA (with a specific anti-codon) for a particular amino acid; and 'wobble' base-pairing, i.e. permitting non-standard base-pairing at the 3rd anti-codon position. The record is from RNAcentral. Lineage: Archaea; Nanobdellati.
GAUCCCGUAGCUCAGUUGGUUAGAGCGCUGCUCUGAUAAGGCAGAGGUCCCAAGUUCAAUUCUUGGCGGGAUCA